RNAcentral lists this ribosomal RNA (501 nucleotides) under Bacillus siamensis. RNAcentral describes it as "bacterial SSU rRNA". It matches the Rfam family "Bacterial small subunit ribosomal RNA", at positions 1036 to 1533 of the family's 1533-position model. Lineage: Bacteria; Bacillati; Bacillota; Bacilli; Caryophanales; Bacillaceae. The record is from RNAcentral.
AGGUGGUGCAUGGUUGUCGUCAGCUCGUGUCGUGAGAUGUUGGGUUAAGUCCCGCAACGAGCGCAACCCUUGAUCUUAGUUGCCAGCAUUCAGUUGGGCACUCUAAGGUGACUGCCGGUGACAAACCGGAGGAAGGUGGGGAUGACGUCAAAUCAUCAUGCCCCUUAUGACCUGGGCUACACACGUGCUACAAUGGACAGAACAAAGGGCUGCGAGACCGCAAGGUUUAGCCAAUCCCACAAAUCUGUUCUCAGUUCGGAUCGCAGUCUGCAACUCGACUGCGUGAAGCUGGAAUCGCUAGUAAUCGCGGAUCAGCAUGCCGCGGUGAAUACGUUCCCGGGCCUUGUACACACCGCCCGUCACACCACGAGAGUUUGCAACACCCGAAGUCGGUGAGGUAACCUUUAUGGAGCCAGCCGCCGAAGGUGGGGCAGAUGAUUGGGGUGAAGUCGUAACAAGGUAGCCGUAUCGGAAGGUGCGGCUGGAUCACCUCCUUUCUAA